AUUGAACGCUGGCGGCAGGCCUAACACAUGCAAGUCGAGCGGAUGAAGGGAGCUUGCUCCUGGAUUCAGCGGCGGACGGGUGAGUAAUGCCUAGGAAUCUGCCUGGUAGUGGGGGAUAACGUCCGGAAACGGGCGCUAAUACCGCAUACGUCCUGAGGGAGAAAGUGGGGGAUGUUCGGACCUCACGCUAUCAGAUGAGCCUAGGUCGGAGUAGCUAGUUGGUGGGGUAAAGGCCUACCAAGGCGACGAUCCGUAACUGGUCUGAGAGGAGGAUCAGUCACACUGGAACUUAGACACGGUCCAGACUCCUACGGGAGGCAGCAGUGGGGAAUAUUGGACAAUGGGCGAAAGCCUGAUCCAGCCAUGCCGCGUGUGUGAAGAAGGUCUUCGGAUUGUAAAGCACUUUAAGUUGGGAGGAAGGGCAGUAAGUUAAUACCUUGCUGUUUUGACGUUACCAACAGAAUAAGCACCGGCUAACUUCGUG
This 484-nucleotide ribosomal RNA is filed under the name uncultured bacterium. RNAcentral's name for it is "partial 16S ribosomal RNA". It matches the Rfam family "Bacterial small subunit ribosomal RNA", at positions 30 to 507 of the family's 1533-position model. The record is from RNAcentral.